This 1578-nucleotide long non-coding RNA is filed under the name Aquilegia coerulea. RNAcentral describes it as "long non-coding RNA (ACOE_LNC002341)". Lineage: Eukaryota; Viridiplantae; Streptophyta; Magnoliopsida; Ranunculales; Ranunculaceae. The record is from RNAcentral.
GUACUCUUCUGAAGAGUUCAACUGCUUUUAAGGGCAUCUCUAAUGGUUCACCAAAUUUGAUGGGCCACCUCAGUAGAUUUGGUACCUAAUUGAUGGACCAUUUGAUGAAAAAAACUUCAGUUUCUAAUGGUUCACCAAAUUGAGGCGGGUAAUGAAGUGUCGCUUGAAUUGGACGGGCUUUGCAGAGCCACUUAAACUAAAAGUUUUAGUUGAGGCGGGCAAUGAAGUGCCACUUAACCCAACAGUUAGUUGAGGCGGACAAUGACGUGCCACUUUAAAUAAAAGCUAAGUAAGAUAUCGGUUGAGGCGGGCAUCCAAGUGCCACUUAAUUGAAGUGGGCUUUGGAGUGCCACUUGAAGCGGCACAUCAUUACCCGCUUUAAGUGAAUCAGCCUUCUCUUGUCGGCCUCAACCCAAUAUCAAAUUUGAUGUUUUCUAUCAAAAUUUCAUCAAAUUUGAUGAAUUUUUGAUGAUUUUUGGUGAAAUAUCAAAUUUGAUGAACUUUUGAUGAUCCAUGAAGAAAGUUUUGGUGGUAGAUUUGAUGAAUCAUUAGAUACCAUAAGCUUAGCCAUCCAAAUGUGUCAAAUGCAACUAAUGAGUAUUUAAGCCCAAACUAAAGGUCUCUCCGUUUGUGGGAUGUUUUGACUUUUCGUUACGAAAUCGCGAUCUAUUGGAAUCCGGGUUUUUGCCAAGGGUGAAAAUAACAUUAUUUCUCAAUCUCAAGAGCUCACAUCACGCUGAUCGAGCAAUUCCCUCCCUCCCUCAUAAUCUCACUCAUUCCCACAUACUUGUUGGAAAAGAAGAGAGAAAGAGAGAGAGAUCUCCAAGACUCCAAACGAAAUUUGUUCAAGAUUUUGCAAUAAUAAGCCAUUCAUAAACCCUAAAUCUCAACAUUCUCUCUCUUGAAAUCUAGGAACCAAGAGGUUUCAACAUUCAAAGUGGCAUAGAUUGAAUUGAAAACUCUUCAAUUGCAUAAGGUAAUUAAAGAAAACCAACCAUAUUCUCUCAAUUUAAAGUUAUAGAUCUUGAUAUUGUAGAUUUGUGCUUUUGCUUUUUCAGAUUUUUAGAUAAUGGGGUUUCAAUAGAAAGCUGGAUUUAGAAACCUUGGGUAUUGAGAAAAUGUGAUAGUUAGUUAUUAGAGUUUAAAAUAUAUUGAUAGGAUUUGAUGAGGAACACAAAUACUUAGUUAAGAAGUGAUUACACAAUGAAGGUUGUAAGAACCAUUGUUGCCAACACAAUUGAAGUCAUACUAUUAGGUUUGGGAUAAACAGUUGCAUAAGUAAGGAGAGUAUGGAAAUGAUAUUGUUUAGAAUAUAUGAACUUUGCAAUGAUUCCUAGAUAGUAUUCAUUGACAUGUUAUCAAUAUGUAGAGAAAAAAAAAGGAGUCUGAGGUGAUUAUGAUAUCUUUUAUAGAUUAACUUGCACUAGUAUUUUUUUCUAUAAUUUUUUUUUUUUAUGGUUUUAAUAAUGAACCCCUAUACAGAAGUCGUACUGUGUGGAUCGGCAAUUGCUGUGGUACAACAAAUGUUGAUAGAUCAACAAAAUUCUUGAAGCUGUUGAAGAGAAACGGAAUCUAGAG